Molecule: ribosomal RNA, 500 nt
Filed under: uncultured bacterium
Lineage: Bacteria
Description: partial 16S ribosomal RNA
Rfam family: Bacterial small subunit ribosomal RNA
Source: RNAcentral
AUUGAACGCUGGCGGCAUGCUUUACACAUGCAAGUCGAACGGUAACAGGGUGCUUGCACCGCUGACGAGUGGCGAACGGGUGAGUAAUGCGUCGGAACGUGCCGAGUAGUGGGGGAUAACGCAGCGAAAGUUGUGCUAAUACCGCAUACGUACUGAGGUAGAAAGUGGGGGACCUUCGGGCCUCACGCUAUUCGAGCGGCCGACGUCUGAUUAGCUAGUAGGUGAGGUAAAGGCUCACCUAGGCGACGAUCAGUAGCGGGUCUGAGAGGAUGAUCCGCCACACUGGGACUGAGACACGGCCCAGACUCCUACGGGAGGCAGCAGUGGGGAAUUUUGGACAAUGGGCGAAAGCCUGAUCCAGCCAUGCCGCGUGUCUGAAGAAGGUCUUCGGGUUGUAAAGGACUUUUGUCAGGGAGGAAAUCCCUAGUGCUACUAACACUGGGGGAUGACAGUACCUGAAGAAUAAGCACCGGCUAACUACGUGCCAGCAGCCGCGGUAA